RNAcentral lists this long non-coding RNA (4559 nucleotides) under Homo sapiens (human). RNAcentral describes it as "HSALNT0227002". The record is from RNAcentral. Lineage: Eukaryota; Metazoa; Chordata; Mammalia; Primates; Hominidae.
CUUGGGGAGGGCUGAGGAGCCCGUUCUGAGUUUUGGGAUUAGGUCCUCCAGAAGCCUGCCUCGAGACAAAGAGGACGCAGACACGGGAAGUGAAGUGGCACCGGGCACUGGGCACACACGCCUGUCCCACCCCGACCUCCGCUGCGGGGCGCUGCUGCACUGGGCGUGGGACUUUCUGACCUGCGAGGAACCCCCACCCCCCUGCGCCUACAGACCUGCUCCAAUCCCAGCCCUGACUGCCCGUCUGCUCCUUCCUGUUACCCAACAGUGCCCAGUGGUAACGCUGGGUGUUCAGGCUGCCAGGACAUUGAGACAUGGGAAGAGUCGGUGCGGAGGUGGAGGGGAAGGGAGGAAAGUGAGGAGCCGAGGCCCCCAGAGUCUGCUUAGGCCAGAACCACGGUUCUGGGAGCAGGGUGCAUGGGUCGGGGGUCCAGGAGAAGUAUGACGAGGGGUCCAGGGCUGUCAGGGCACAGGCAAGGUGGAUGGAAACGGGCUCGUGUCGUGGGUGUCCCCCGUGGCUGUGGGAAGGCAUGGGAUGACCUGCACCUGCAAUCCUUUGGCAGAUGGAGAGCAGAUGGAGGACGAGAGCCCGCGCCCCAGCCUUUCUCGCCGUGAAGACCCCCUCUUGUCUCUGCCCGUCUAUAUUCUCUCAUAAACUGAGUCCAGCUUCCAGUACCACAAAUCCCCUCCCGGCACUCGAAUCCACGCAUUUUAAACCCUUAUUGGCCUUUAAAGGAAUCCCGCCCAGCUCAGCCCCUGAGCGCUGGUUUCCACGUGGGUUGCUGCUGACCCUCCCUCGAGCUCCCUGCCGGUCUCUUCAACACCCGGAGGACCCGCGGGUGCGGAGUGCUGUUACCCAAGAGGAGUUACUCUCAGAACUAAGAAGUCGACAAGACAGGAAUGUCACCUUGGGUGGAUGCGCCAGGAGAGGAACUGACAGGAACAACAGCCAUGAGCUUGUUACCUUGGUGCUGUUUUUAUGCUCGUCUUGGCAGCCGUUUUGAGGUGCUCCUCCCUCGGCGCCGGCUUCAGAUUUGGGAGCAAAUGUGAUUCCGCACGAAGGGCAGGUCUAGAAGAAAAACACAGACUGUGGGGACACACCCAGAAACCGCGACUGCCACCCUGAAUUCAGGCAGGUCCGCUGUUGCCAUCUGCCGUCACGCAGCAUGGUGGUGAGCAAGGGGAAGGCACACAGAACCGCUCGGGGAUGAGCUGAAAGCCAACGGGCAAAGUGACAGUGGAAACACACAGAAACCCGGGCACGAACGCAACAGGACCCAAAAAUGGAACCGGGAAUGUUCACUGACUGAACAAUGGAUCAACAAACUGUGGUCUAUUCGAACAAUGGGAUAUUACUCAGCCACGAAAAAGACGGAAGCACUGACGCCUGCCACAGCAUGGUGAACCUCGAAAACAUUAUGCUCGGGGAGGGAAGCCAGACACAGCACAGAUAUUACGUGAUCCCGUCUAUGUGAAAUAUUCAGAAAAGGUGAAUCCUUGGAGGGAGAAGGCAGAUUCCUGGCUGCCAGGCGGGACCGGGGGCAGGAAGGGGGAGUGGCUGCUAAGGGGCGUGGGGUUUGCUACGAUUCGAAUGUUUGUGCCCCCUCAAAAGUCAGACGCUGAAAUCCUAAUUCCCAAGGGGAUGGCAUUGGGGGGCAAAGCCUUGGGAGGUAAUUAGGUCAUGGGGGACAAGCCUUCAAAAUAGGAUUAGUGCCCUCAUAAAAGAGGCCCCAGAGGAAUCCCUCGUCCCUUCGCCCUGGGAGAAGGCACCAUCUGUGAAGCAGGAACGGGUCCUCACUGGACACUGAAUCUUCCGGGACCUUGAUCUCGGACUUCCCAGCCUCCAGAACCCUGAGAAAUACAUUUCUGUUGUUUAAAAGCCACCUGGUUUGUGGUAUUUCAACAGGGUUUCUCUUUGGGAUGAUAAAAAUGUUCUGAAAUUGAUCACGGUGAUGGUUGCACAACCUUGCUAAAUAUACUAAAAACCACUGAACUGUACACUUUAAAAAGAUCGAUUUUUAAAUAUUUUUUGAGAUGGAGUUUCACUCUUGUCACCCAGGCUGGAGUACAGUGUCACGAUCUUGGCUCACUGCAACGUCCACCUCCUGGGUUCAAGCGAUUCUCCUGCCUCAGCCUCCUGAGUAGCUGCGAUUACAGGUGCCUGCCACCACGCCCGGCUACUUGUUUUGUGUUUUUAGUAGAAACGGGGUUUCGCCAUGUUGGCCAGGCUGGUCUUGAACUCCUGACCUCAGGUGAUCCACCCGUCUUGGCCUCCCAAAGUGCUGGGAUUACAAGCAUGAGCCACUGUGCCUGGCCAAAAAGAUCGAUUUUAUAGUAUGUGAAUUAUAUCUCAACAAAGCUGUUAUUAAGUAAAGAAACUGGCCACCAACUAUGCGAGGACACAAAUCCAAGGUUCUUAAGCUCCGUGUGAUGGUGAGCUAGUCUCAUAAGAUGGGCUGAAUAAUCAAAGGUACACGAUUUCCAGAUCUAGGCGUACUUAAAAGUUUAUAGGAAUUAAUGGACCUAGAAAAGAGAAGGCAAGAUUUAAUACAGGUACCCUAAAAAGAGCAAAGCCUUUAUUUCUCAUAAACUAGGAUUCAAACCCUAGUCAAGUACUUACUAGUUUGGAGACUCUGUUCAAAUCACUUUACCUCAGUUCCCUCAUCUAUAAACAAAGAGUGAAGAUAUGUUGCUAAGAAUUAAAUGAAAUUGGCUGGGUGUGGCGGCUGUAAUCCCAGCACUUUGGGAAGCUGGGGUGGGAGGAUGGCUUGAGUCCAGGAAUUUGAGGCCAGCCUGGGCAACAUGGCAAAACCCUGCCUCAACAAAAAGCAUAAAAAUUAGCCUGGCCUGGUGGCAUGUGCCUGUAGUCCCAGCUACUUGUGGGGCUGAGGUGGGAGGGCUGCUUGAGUCUGGGAGGUCAAGGCCGCAGUGAGCUUUGAUGGUGCCACUGCACUCCAGCCUGGGGCAAAAGAGAAAGACCCUGUCUUAAAAAAAUAAUAAUUAAAUGAAAUAAGUAUAUAUAUAGCCUAGCACAGUUCCUGGCAUACAGUAUACCCGUAAUAAACUUAUUAUUAUUAUUAAUGUGACCAGGUAACCUAGGAACCAUCUAAGAAAGCAACUAACAGCUUCCAAUGAAGAAGACAAACCGUGGCAAGAAAUAUAUUUUUUUUUUUUUUUGGACUCAAAAGCAAUUUCCUUGCAGCAAGAAGUGUAAAACAUUGAAAUAAAUUAUGGGAGGCCAGAUAUUAUUUUGGAAAUUUAAAGUAAGUGUCACUACCUAAGGGCAAAGAUAUGACCCAGGUUGUAUUUAAAGUUAGACUGCAGACCUGUACUAUAUUAAAUAAAAGAAACAAAGAUUCUACAGGGUUGUAUAGUUUGGGAAUCUGAUGUAACAUACAAGCUAAAUUUGAACAUUUGUAUGCAUUCAAAAAAUGAAAAUAUACAUGCCAAAACAGCUAGCGAAAUCAUUAAUUAACAUAUCUGAGCAAAUAAUGGCAUCUAGAUAACAUUUGCUUACAGCUCUUUAAAAACUGACAUUAUCAACAGAGGUAAAAUGUUCUAGUUAUCAAUAACAUACAGUGAGUCUAUUUGAAAGCACCUCUUGGUAUUGACUGGCAGAGUUAAACUUCUAAACAUUUUGCUGGUGUGCUGGCUCACACCUGUAAUCCCAGAACUUUGGGAGGCCGAAGCAGGAGGACUGCUUAGGGCCAGGAGUUCAAGACCAGCCUGGGCAACAUAGGGAGACCUUGUCUCUACUAAAAAUAAAACCAAUUAGCUGACCUUGAUGGCACGUGCCUGUGGUCCCAGCCACUCGGGAGGCUGAGGCAGGAGGAUUGCUUCAGCGAAGGAAGUCAAGGCUGCAGUGCACUGUGAUUGUGCCACUGCACUCCAGCGUGGGUGACAGAGCAAACCCAUUCUCAAAAUACAUAUAUAUAUGUAUAAAUAUGUAUAUAUUUGCCAAUGAGACCACUGCUCUUAUUAAAUGUAAAAAAAUCUAACACCAAGAGAAGAAUAAAAUAGGUGUGCCUGAUACCCAUGCCUAAAAGAUGCCUGAGGGAACUCUCUGGUGUGGCUAAGGUGGGGGGCUUGGUGCUUGAUGGGGCACACCAGCCAUUUCAGGGCCCAACCGGUAGACCAGGAAAGGAAGCUGGAGGUGUGGAAGCGUCUGCUGCACUUGGCUCAGCCAAAGCCCGAAGUGCAAGUGCGUGCUCAGUAAAUGCUGGUAGUGAAUAUGAAAACUUCUGUUAACUAUGCUCUCUGGUCAUUAAAGUUCAUCUGGUAAUUCAAUGUCCUUGAUUACAGACAGAACAGCCCUUGGUAUCUAUUCUUCUGUAGCCAUUUAGUCACAGGAAUCUCCUGGCGUCAGUCUGUUUCAGGUAUUUUUCUUGCCUCAAGUUCAUCUGCUGUGCUUUUCUCUCUUUUUUUGUUUGUUUGUUUUUUUGGGACUGAGUCUCGCUCUGUCACCCAGGCUGGAGUGCAGUGGGGAGAUCUUGGCUCACUGCAACCUCCACCUCCUGGGUUCAAGCAAUUCUGCUGCCUCAACCUCCUGAGUAGCUGGG